RNAcentral lists this ribosomal RNA (459 nucleotides) under uncultured bacterium. Its description in RNAcentral is "partial 16S ribosomal RNA". It matches the Rfam family "Bacterial small subunit ribosomal RNA", at positions 338 to 795 of the family's 1533-position model. The record is from RNAcentral.
CCUACGGGCGGCAGCAGUGAGGAAUAUUGGUCAAUGGGCGGGAGCCUGAACCAGCCAAGUCGCGUGAAGGAAGAAGGUACUUAGUAUUGUAAACUUCUUUUGUCGGGGAACAAAGGCGGAGACGCGUCUCCGGAUGAGUGUACCCGAAGCAAAAGCAUCGGCUAACUCCGUGCCAGCAGCCGCGGUAAUCCGGAGGAUGCGAGCGUUAUCCGGAUUUAGUGGGUUUAAAGGGUGCGCAGGCGGGAGAUCAAGUCAGCGGUAAAAUGUCGGGGCUCAACCCCGGCCGGCCGUUGAAACUGGUUGUCUAGAGUUGGAGAGAAGUAUGCGGAAGUCGUGGUGUAGCGGUGAAAUGCAUAGAUAUCACGAAGAACCCCGAUUGCGAAGGCAGCAUACCGGCUCCAUACUGACGCUGAGGCACGAAAGCGUGGGGAUCGAACAGGAUUAGAUACCCCAGUAGUC